Oncorhynchus tshawytscha (Chinook salmon) is the source of this 987-nucleotide long non-coding RNA. NCBI's taxonomy places the organism in Eukaryota, Metazoa, Chordata, Actinopteri, Salmoniformes, Salmonidae. The record is from Ensembl.
GGGAGGGAGGGAGAGAGGGGGAAGGGAGGAGAGAUUUAGAGAUUAGACAAAAAUUAAGACAGGACAAAGGGGAGGGAGAGAGAGGGAGGGAGGGGGAAGGGAGGGGAAGAGGGAGGAGAGGGAGAGAGGGGGAAGGGAGGAGAGAGAGAGGGAGGGGGGGAAGGGAGGGAGGAGAGAGGGAGGGAGGGAGAGAGACUUCACUGUUCAUUUUUUACCCUCUUUUAGUCCGCCUGUCAGUGGGAAGUCAGUCAGCCUAGAAGGGGCUAGGAAGCUACUCAAUUCACCUCAACUGCCUGAACAACAGAUAAGAGGUGUGUUUGUGUGUGUGUGUUUUUAAAGAGAAUAUUCUGGUCUCCUGAUCCCCUGCUGUCUGUCCUCAUUUCCUCUCACACACACACACACACACACACACCCCACAACCCAUCCCUGCAUUUACAGAGCCGAGUAUGAAGUGUAAAAUGGAAAGUAGGAGUGUGUGUGUCUCUGCGUGUGUGUGUUCCAAGGCUCUGAGAGUUCCAAGGCUCUGAGAGUUCCAAGGCUCUGAGAGUUCCAAGGCUCUGAGAGUUCCAAGGCUCUGAGAGUUCCAAGGCUCUGAGAGUUCCAAGGCUCUGAGUGUUCCAAGGCUCUGAGAGUUCCAAGGCUCUGAGAGUUCCAAGGCUCUGAGAGUUCCAAGGCUCUGUGUGUUCCAAGGCUCUGAGAGUUCCAAGGCUCUGAGAGUUCCAAGGCUCUGUGUGUUCCAAGGCUCUGAGAGUUCCAAGGCUCUCAGAGUGUCUCUGCUGUACACAUAGUAAACUCAGACAGAGAGAGAGCCAGGCUUCAUGUCUACACAGAUACAUCUAGGAGCCAACAGAAGCCUCUGAACACACACAGAUACAUCUAGGAGCCAACAUAAGCCUCUGAACACACACAGAUACAUCUAGGAGCCAACAGAAGCCUCUGAACACACACAGAUACAUCUAGGAGCCAACAGAAGCCUCUGAACACACA